UUCUCCCUAGGGGUGGCAAUUUGUGUUUAUGUGUCGUAAUCAUGUCGACACGAUUAUAGAGAACAUGAACAUUACACGAUUAAUAAACGUGUCAGGAUUUCCCAACAUGUACACAAAACUAUUUAUUAAACAUGUUACUUAUUUAGCAUGAUUCUUAAAUGUGUUGUAUUGGGUUAACACGUUUACACAACACGUUUAACACGAAUAACCUGUUUUACAUAAAAUACAUAUUUUUAAAAUGAGAGAGAGAGAGAGAGUUGACUUUGUUGGCUGUGUGUGGGGGUUGAUACGUUUGUUUAGUUUUAUUUUAGGAUUUCUAAUAAAAAGAUAAAAAUAACCAUUGACUUUGUUAAAAAUUACAAAAUUACAUAUUUUUUUAUUUAUAGAUUAAACGUGUCAUAAAUGGGUUCAUAGGUUAACACGUGACACGACAUGAAAUUCUGUGUCAUAAAUGGAUCAACACGAACCUGUAUAAGCCCAACACUAACACGAAAAUUUCAUGUCAUGUUCGAAUGUCGUGUUGAAAAUUGCCACC
Molecule: long non-coding RNA, 535 nt
Filed under: Elaeis guineensis (African oil palm)
Lineage: Eukaryota; Viridiplantae; Streptophyta; Magnoliopsida; Arecales; Arecaceae
Description: long non-coding RNA (EGUI_LNC078656)
Source: RNAcentral